Molecule: ribosomal RNA, 129 nt
Filed under: Aeromonas caviae
Lineage: Bacteria; Pseudomonadati; Pseudomonadota; Gammaproteobacteria; Aeromonadales; Aeromonadaceae
Description: partial 23S ribosomal RNA
Rfam family: Bacterial large subunit ribosomal RNA (bases 1-108)
Source: RNAcentral
UUGAGGGUCCUAAAGGGCCGUUGGAGACCACAACGUUGAUAGGUGGGGUGUGUAAGCGUAGCGAUACGUUGAGCUAACCCAUACUAAUUACCCGUGAGGCUUAACCAUACAACACCCAAGAAGUGUUCU